This 405-nucleotide ribosomal RNA is filed under the name uncultured beta proteobacterium. Its description in RNAcentral is "bacterial SSU rRNA". It matches the Rfam family "Bacterial small subunit ribosomal RNA", at positions 9 to 416 of the family's 1533-position model. The record is from RNAcentral. Lineage: Bacteria; Pseudomonadati; Pseudomonadota; Betaproteobacteria.
GAGUUUGAUCAUGGCUCAGAUUGAACGCUGGCGGCAUGCCUUACACAUGCAAGUCGAACGGCAGCGCGGACUUCGGUCUGGCGGCGAGUGGCGAACGGGUGAGUAAUGUAUCGGAACGUACCUUUCAGUGGGGGAUAACGUAGCGAAAGUUACGCUAAUACCGCAUAUUCUGUGAGCAGGAAAGCAGGGGAUCGCAAGACCUUGCGCUGAUUGAGCGGCCGAUAUCAGAUUAGCUAGUUGGUGAGGUAAAGGCUCACCAAGGCGACGAUCUGUAGCGGGUCUGAGAGGAUGAUCCGCCACACUGGAACUGAGACACGGUCCAGACUCCUACGGGAGGCAGCAGUGGGGAAUUUUGGACAAUGGGGGCAACCCUGAUCCAGCCAUGCCGCGUGAGUGAAGAAGGCC